UUUGAUCUUGGCUCAAAACGAACGCUGGCGGCGGGCCUCAUCCUUGCAAGUCGAGCGCGAAAGUCCGCAGGGAUGAUUAAAGCGGCGCACGGGUGAAAAACACGUGAAUAAUCUACCUCUUGGAUUGGGAUAACCUGUCAAAAGACGGGCUAAUACCAAGUAAUUUCCUUAAAUCGUAAAGUUCUUUGGAAAAAAGUUGGCGCAAGCUAACGCCAAGAGAUGAGUCUGCCCCCCAUUAGCUAGUUGGUGAGGUAAUGGCUUACCAAGGCUACAAUGGGUAGCUGGUCUGAGAGGAUGAUCAGCCACACUGGAACUGAAACACGGCCCAAACUCCUACGGGAGGCAGCAGUAGGGAAUAUUGCGCAAUGGGCGAAAGCCUGACGCACCCACGCCGCGUGAGUGAAGAAGGCCUUCGGGUUGUAAAGCUCUGUCUUUCGGGAAAAACGGCUAUUGGGGGAAAGUUCCAUUAGCGUGAUGGUACCGAAGGAGGAACCACCGGCAAACUCUGUG
This 510-nucleotide ribosomal RNA is filed under the name uncultured bacterium. RNAcentral describes it as "bacterial SSU rRNA". It matches the Rfam family "Bacterial small subunit ribosomal RNA", at positions 12 to 507 of the family's 1533-position model. The record is from RNAcentral.